Larimichthys crocea (large yellow croaker) is the source of this 90-nucleotide small nucleolar RNA. The record is from Ensembl. Lineage: Eukaryota; Metazoa; Chordata; Actinopteri; Sciaenidae.
UGCGUGGUUAAUGAUGUUCCUCUUUCCCCGACUGAUCGACUAUGGUGAUACAAAAAUGCAAAAUAAGCCAAUUAUUUCUGAAACCACGAU